Molecule: ribosomal RNA, 262 nt
Filed under: uncultured archaeon
Lineage: Archaea
Description: partial 16S ribosomal RNA
Rfam family: Archaeal small subunit ribosomal RNA
Source: RNAcentral
CAGCCGUAAACUAUGCGCGUUAGGUGUACUGGUGACCACGAGUCACCGGGGUGCCGAAGGGAAACCGUGAAACGUGCCGCCUGGGAAGUACGGUCGCAAGGCUGAAACUUAAAGGAAUUGGCGGGGGAGGCACCACAACGGGUGGAGCCUGCGGUUUAAUUGGACUCAACGCCGGAAUCUCACCGGAUAGGACAGACAUAUGAUAGUCGGGCUGAAGACUCUACUUGAUGAUCCUGAGAGGAGGUGCAUGGCGUCAGUGACU